GACGGAGGAUGCAAGCGUUAUCCGGAAUGAUUGGGCGUAAAGCGUCCGCAGGUGGCAGUUCAAGUCUGCUGUCAAAGACCGGGGCUUAACUUCGGAAAGGCAGUGGAAACUGAACAGCUAGAGUAUGGUAGGGGCAGAGGGAAUUUCCGGUGGAGCGGUGAAAUGCGUAGAGAUCGGAAAGAACACCAACGGCGAAAGCACUCUGCUGGGCCGACACUGACACUGAGAGACGAAAGCUAGGGGAGCGAAUGGG
This 253-nucleotide ribosomal RNA is filed under the name uncultured bacterium. RNAcentral's name for it is "partial 16S ribosomal RNA". It matches the Rfam family "Bacterial small subunit ribosomal RNA", at positions 524 to 776 of the family's 1533-position model. The record is from RNAcentral.